This is a long non-coding RNA of Chinchilla lanigera (long-tailed chinchilla), 756 nucleotides long. RefSeq lists it as uncharacterized. The transcript is spliced from 4 exons. NCBI's taxonomy places the organism in Eukaryota, Metazoa, Chordata, Mammalia, Rodentia, Chinchillidae. The record is from RefSeq and is a predicted model, not a curated record.
UCAACUCCCACACAACUCUGAAGGAAAACCUGCGGGAGUCUCUAGCUUUACAGCCCAUCACUCUGCCAUCUACAUGAAACACAAACUAGUGGUUUAUAUUUGGAUUUGGGAGCAAAGUUCUGCCAUCACCUGGUGACUGUGCAUCUCCAUGAGAAGCAGCUUCGUGACCACUACUGGUUCUUAGUGGAAACUGCUCACUACGUAACAGGACACUAUGUUUCAUGAAAAUCAAGAUGCUCUUCGUGGAUUGGGUCCUAUCUGAUGCAACUAGCCAUAAAUUCUGAGAGACCACACGGAUUCAGAUGACCUGAAAUGUGGGAAUGUCCCGGGCAAUUUUGAGACCUUCAUGACUCUGAGUCAGCAGCUUUAACGAAUAGUUGUGGUAUUAAGUGUGGUGACUGAUUGAGGUUAUCAAGGAAAUCUUGGACAAGUGCCACUCAUGGAAAGGAAGGGUCAAAUGUGAAGAAAAACGUGAUUUCUGACUGAAGACAAUGCAAACAGCUGUACACACCAGGAGCAGUGCUGGGUGCCAGAGAAGCCCCUGUGAGGGACGAGGCCACCUCGACACAGUCAGUCCUGUCAGCUUCCUGGCUUGUCACUGGAGGCAGCCAGAAGGAGCUGGACCCGCUCUCCAGGGCUGCUCCCCUCCGCCCAGCUGCUCCACCUUUACUCCCAAGGAGAGAGCAGCUCCCAGCUUGGACUACUUCCCCACCUUCUGGAACCUGUCUCAGGAACAUGGCCAGAUGCAGAAGGGUA